UGCGCGGAUAGAUGAGCCGRUGUSGGAUUAGCUAGUUGGCGGGGUAAAGGCCCACCRAGGCGACGAUCCGUAGCUGGUCUGAGAGGAUGAUCAGCCACACUGGAACUGAGACACGGUCCAGACUCCUACGGGAGGCAGCAGUGGGGAAUAUUGGACAAUGGGCGCAAGCCUGAUCCAGCCAUACCGCGUGGGUGAAGAAGGCCUUCGGGUUGUAAAGCCCUUUUGUUGGGAAAGAAAAGCAGUCGAUUAAUACUCGGUUGUUCUGACGGUACCCAAAGAAUAAGCACCGGCUAACUUCGUGCCAGCAGCCGCGGUAAUACGAAGGGUGCAAGCGUUACUCGGAAUUACUGGGCGUAAAGCGUGCGUAGGUGGUUGUUUAAGUCUGUUGUGAAAGCCCUGGGCUCAACCUGGGAAUUGCAGUGGAUACUGGGCGACUAGAGUGUGGUAGAGGGUAGUGGAAUUCCCGGUGUAGCAGUGAAAUGCGUAGAGAUCGGGAGGAACAUCCAUGGCG
RNAcentral lists this ribosomal RNA (511 nucleotides) under Stenotrophomonas sp. RNAcentral's name for it is "bacterial SSU rRNA". It matches the Rfam family "Bacterial small subunit ribosomal RNA", at positions 214 to 717 of the family's 1533-position model. The record is from RNAcentral. Lineage: Bacteria; Pseudomonadati; Pseudomonadota; Gammaproteobacteria; Lysobacterales; Lysobacteraceae.